Lathyrus oleraceus (garden pea) is the source of this 1457-nucleotide long non-coding RNA. RefSeq lists it as uncharacterized. NCBI's taxonomy places the organism in Eukaryota, Viridiplantae, Streptophyta, Magnoliopsida, Fabales, Fabaceae. The transcript is spliced from 3 exons. The record is from RefSeq and is a predicted model, not a curated record.
UGAAUUUCAAAAAAGACCCGUAAUCGGGAGGGCAUAACUACCACAUGGUUUAUCCAAAUUGCAAGUUCUUUAUAUGCACAAACUCCAUUUAAUAUGUACUUCAAAGUUGCAUAAUUGGAUUUUUUUGGAAAAGGCUCCAUGCAAAAUGCCAUUUUUGAAGUGAAUCAAUUUAAGGAGAGGGGCAAAAUGGUCCACAUUUGAAAAUAUUGGGAAUUUGCAAACAAGGCUUAUACCAACAGCUCCCAAUUGAUAUUUUGGACUGGUUUCAAGUGUUAAUUUUCUGCAGAGCAUGCUUCUAAAAUCAAAGAGCUUAAAAGCCAAUUCACACACAAAACCAAUUUUGGGACUAAUCUCAUUUUUUUGCUUAAUACAAUUAUAGUUUAGAUUAAGCACUGCAUAUAAAAACAAAAACUCUAACAGAAUUGGAAUUUUUUUUGCUGCUAAUGACAACUUUCAGAAACUUCUACACAAUCAUUUUUUCAGCUAACAGAAAAAAAAGCUAACGGCAAAAAACCACUCUCUGCAAAUCAUUCGCACAAUCACUCUCAAAAGGACAAUUCUCAUAAUCACUCUCUCACGAUCACAAUCACAACUCCACAAUCACAAUUGCAUCUAACAAAAAAAAAAAGAAAAACUCCAAGCUCUCUCUCAUUUUCGACUCGAAGUUUCACAAACUUUUUUCUGAUUUUUCUUCAAGAUCCUUCGAUCUUUUGUGCAAUUUGGCUGUAGAUUCACGUUUUGCAGGUAAUGCUGAAGUGCUGCUGAGCAAGAUUGAGAUGAAAUUGCAACAAAUUCGUGACUGUUGUGGAGCUGUCCUUCCAUGGUAAUCAAGAAAAUCCGUUCGAUUCUCGCAUCCUCGAGCUGAACGAACAUCAUCAUCCACCUUCCGCGGCUACACACUCCGUCUGUCUCGCUUUUGUUUUUGAGCUCUGCAGAUCGCCAUUUCCGCAACCGUCGUCAAGAGAGGUACCCUUUAGUCGCUCAGUUCUCUUAAGAACUUGCAUUGCUUUGCUUAUAAGCAAUUGGCAUUGAGGAACAAUGGUUGAAAACCAGGAUAGAUUGAGGCACAACCAUGUAUCUCAACAUGUUUCUGUUCGUAGGGAGAGAGCAGUGCGCUCGAGGCCACAAGUUAGUGUUUCGUUUAAUGCUGAAGUGUUGACUUCACACAAUCGCGUGUCUCAGACUUCACAAGGUCGCGUGUCUCAGACUUCAGCCUCCUAAAGGAACGUGUCUCCUUCUGACCCUCCAACUUGUGAAUCCCUUGAAGCACAACAGAAGGAACAUGUUGUUGUUGCUCCCAUUCCUGAUAGUUUUCUAAGAGGCCUCUAUGACACCUCCUUACUUCAUCUCUAUGCAGAACAUGCUGCUAAGCGUGUGUGAGAAUGAGAGGUGUAUUUAUUUACUUUUACGUUACUUAUGUUUCAUACUAAUUGAGUUGCGAAUGAUUUUGAUAUAUU